CCAAUGUGGGGCUCGAACCUACAACCCUCAGAUCAAGAGUUGCACACUCUACCCACUAAACCAGCCAGGUGCCCCAAGUGUGGUUUUAGGGUCUUAAUUUUUAGGGCUGCAGUAACAAAUUGGGGAAGCACAUGCACCACGUGGU
Molecule: non-coding RNA, 145 nt
Organism: Callorhinus ursinus (northern fur seal)
Lineage: Eukaryota; Metazoa; Chordata; Mammalia; Carnivora; Otariidae
Source: RefSeq, a predicted model, not a curated record